UAUCUAAUAUUGUUCAAUCGCAUUUGGAGGAUAAGUCCCAUAUCAGUGUGGGUAUAUAAGUUAAUAUAAAUUAAAUGUGGACACCUCCUUUAUGCGGGCCGUUAUUUGGCCAUUACCAAUCGUAGGUACCUUGCUUGGGCUAUAUGGAUAUUUGUUUUCAAAAUGAACUUGAAUUACACUAUAUCAAUUAUAUG
Molecule: long non-coding RNA, 194 nt
Organism: Xenopus laevis (African clawed frog)
Lineage: Eukaryota; Metazoa; Chordata; Amphibia; Anura; Pipidae
Exons: 3
Source: RefSeq, a predicted model, not a curated record